AGGGUUUGAUUCUGGCUCAGGAUGAACGCUGGCGGCGUGCCUAAUACAUGCAAGUCGAACGCGAGUGCUUGCACUCGAGUGGCGAACGGGUGAGUAAUACAUAAGUAACCUGCCCCAGACAGGGGGAUAACUGCUGGAAACGGCAGCUAAAACCGCAUAGGUACAGAGAUCGCAUGAACUUUGUAUUAAAGGUGCUAAGGCAUUGGUAAGGGAUGGACUUAUGGCGCAUUAGCUAGUUGGUGAGGUAGAGGCUCACCAAGGCGACGAUGCGUAGCCGGCCUGAGAGGGUGGACGGCCACACUGGGACUGAGACACGGCCCAG
RNAcentral lists this ribosomal RNA (322 nucleotides) under uncultured bacterium. RNAcentral's name for it is "bacterial SSU rRNA". It matches the Rfam family "Bacterial small subunit ribosomal RNA", at positions 8 to 334 of the family's 1533-position model. The record is from RNAcentral.